This 269-nucleotide ribosomal RNA is filed under the name uncultured prokaryote. RNAcentral describes it as "partial 16S ribosomal RNA". It matches the Rfam family "Bacterial small subunit ribosomal RNA", at positions 524 to 792 of the family's 1533-position model. The record is from RNAcentral.
UACGGAGGUGGCAAGCGUUACUCGGAUUCACUGGGUGUAAAGGGUAUGUAGGCGGGCAAUCAAGUCAAGUGUGAAAUCCCUUGGCUCAACCAAGGAAGUGCGCUUGAAACUGUUUGUCUUGAGUGCGGAAGAGGAGAACGGAAUUCCCGGUGUAAGGGUGAAAUCUGUAGAGAUCGGGAGGAACACCAGUGGCGAAAGCGGUUCUCUGGUCCGUAACUGACGCUGAAAUACGAAAGCUUGGGGAGCAAACAGGAUUAGAUACCCCUGUA